UGGGGGAUAUUGCACAAUGGGGGAAACCCUGAUGCAGCAACGCCGCGUGAGGGAUGAAGGUUUUCGGAUUGUAAACCUCUGUCUUUGGUGAAGAAAUUUUGACGGUAGCCAUAGAGGAAGCUCCGGCUAACUACGUGCCAGCAGCCGCGGUAAUACGUAGGGAGCAAGCGUUGUCCGGAAUUAUUGGGUGUAAAGGGUGCGUAGGCGGUUAUGUAAGUCAGGCGUGUAAUUUAUGGGCUUAACCUGUAAACAGCGCUUGAAACUGUGUAACUUGAGUGGAGUAGAGGCAAAUGGAAUUUCCAGUGUAGCGGUGAAAUGCGUAGAUAUUGGAAGGAACACCAGUGGCGAAGGCGAUUUGCUGGGCUCUAACUGACGCUGAGGCACGAAAGCAUGGGGAGCAAACA
This 404-nucleotide ribosomal RNA is filed under the name uncultured Eubacteriales bacterium. Its description in RNAcentral is "uncultured Clostridiales bacterium partial 16S ribosomal RNA". It matches the Rfam family "Bacterial small subunit ribosomal RNA", at positions 355 to 774 of the family's 1533-position model. The record is from RNAcentral. Lineage: Bacteria; Bacillati; Bacillota; Clostridia; Eubacteriales.